AUGGACUGCGGCAGAGCUGAGGGACGUCAGGCGGGCGUCCAGAAAACUGCCCCAGGGCAUGGCAGGGAGCCUCAGGCGGACGGCCUGGGGGGCAAGCAGAGGCAGAGUGAAGGCGGAACCCUUCAGGAGGCCGGCGGCAAGGACGAUGAGGGCUCAGUCCCUCAGGAGACCUGCAGUGGCACAGAACCCCCUCAGAAGGCCGGCAGCGGUGAAGGCGGAACCCUUCAGGAGGCCGGCGAAGGCGAGGUAGAGGGCGGGUCCCCUCAAGAGGAAGGCCAGGUAGAGGGCGGGUCCCCUCAGGAGGAAGGCCAGGUAGAGGGCGGGUCCCCUCAGGAGGCAGGCCAGGUAGAGGGCGGGUCCCCUCAGGAGGCAGGCCAGGUAGAGGGCGGGUCCCCUCAGGAGGAGGGCCAGGCAAAGGGCGGGUCCCCUCUGGUGGACAGGGUAGAGGGCGGGUCCCCUCUUGUAGAAGGCCAGGCAGAGGGCGGGUCCCCUCUGGUAGAAGGCCAGGCAGAGGGCGGGUCCCCUCUGGUGGACAGGGUAGAGGGCGGGUCCCCUCUGGUAGAAGGCCAGGCAGAGGGCGGGUCCCCUCUGGUGGAAGGCCAGGUAGAGGGCGGGUCCCCUCUGGUAGAAGGCCAGGCAGAGGGCGGGUCCCCUCUGGUAGAAGGCCAGGUAGAGGGCGGGUCCCCUCUGGUAGAAGGUCAGGCAGAGGGCGGGUCCCCUCUGGUAGAAGGCCAGGUAGAGGGCGGGUCCCUUCAGGAGGCAGGCCAGGUAGAGGGCGGGUCCCCUCAGGAGGAGGGCCAGGCAGAGGGCGGGUCCCCUCUGGUGGAAGGCCAGGUAGGGGGCGGGUCCCCUCUGGUGGACAGGGUAGAGGGCGGGUCCCCUCUGGUGGAAGGCCAGGCAGAUACCCCUCUGGAAGGAGCAGGGGGCGGGCCCCCUCAGGCAGGAGCGGAGGACGGACCACCUCAAGCAGGCGACCAGGCCGGUACCACUCUGGAAAGCGAGGAGUGGGCUCAGGAACCGGACAGGGCUCGGGGGCCGGAGUCAGUGCGGGAGCUGGAGUACCAGGAGGAACCGGGUGGUUCCCCACACCCUCCCAGCGCUCCAUUGUCUUAUUUAUUUUGGCUAGUAAAUCCUCCAACUUACGGCCAAAUUGAGCGUCCGCUGGGUCCCAUCGUGGUGCUGUCAUUCUGUUAA
Molecule: long non-coding RNA, 1194 nt
Filed under: Gadus morhua (Atlantic cod)
Lineage: Eukaryota; Metazoa; Chordata; Actinopteri; Gadiformes; Gadidae
Description: lncRNA (ENSGMOG00000033275.1)
Source: RNAcentral